CAAGCAAAAUGAGUUUUAGUUUGAACCCCCGAAACUAAGUGAGCUACUUCGAAAUAGUUUUAAGAACAAACCCGUCUCUGUAGCAGUAGAGUGGGAAAAUUUCCAAGUAGAGGCGAUAUACCUACCGCACUUAGAGAUAGCUGGUUGCUUAAGAAAAGAAUAUAAGUUCAACCUUAAGUUUCUUAAUUACAUGAAAAAAUAUAUAAAACUUAAGAGCUAUUCAAAUAAGGCACAGCUUAUUUGAAACAGGAUACAACCUUCGAUACUGGGUAAUAAUUAAGAUCAGGUUCUAAGUGGGCCUAAAAGCAGCCACCUCUUAAAAAGCGUUAAAGCUUAUCACCUAUUCUACUUUAAUACCUUAAUAUACCUAUAACCCGUCAUCAGUACUGAGCAAUUCCAUAAAUAUAUGGAAGUUAUAAUGCUGGAACUAGUAACAAGAAAUAGACUUUCUCCAAAAUGUAAGCCUAAGCCACAAUAGACACACUACUGGCAGUUAACGCAAAUGAACAGACUAUAACAACUUUAACAAGAGAACCCUAUAGCCCUUAGCGUCAACCUUACACCAGAACAUUCCUGGAAAGAUAAAAGAAAAAGAAGGAACUCGGCAAAAUUUAGCCC
This 618-nucleotide ribosomal RNA is filed under the name Gephyromantis klemmeri (Klemmer's Madagascar frog). RNAcentral describes it as "partial 16S ribosomal RNA". The stretch from base 1 to 425 matches the Rfam family "Bacterial large subunit ribosomal RNA", at positions 687 to 1300 of the family's 2925-position model. The record is from RNAcentral. Lineage: Eukaryota; Metazoa; Chordata; Amphibia; Anura; Mantellidae.